UGUGGUGAUGAUGGCGAGAAGGAUACACCUGUUCCCAUGUCGAACACAGAAGUUAAGCUUCUUAGCGCCGAGAGUAGUUGGGGGAUCG
This 88-nucleotide ribosomal RNA is filed under the name Lactobacillus delbrueckii subsp. bulgaricus. The record is from RNAcentral. Lineage: Bacteria; Bacillati; Bacillota; Bacilli; Lactobacillales; Lactobacillaceae.